UGGGGAAUAUUGCACAAUGGGCGCAAGCCUGAUGCAGCCAUGCCGCGUGUGUGAAGAAGGCCUUCGGGUUGUAAAGCACUUUCAGCGAGGAGGAAGGGUUCAGUGUUAAUAGCACUGUUCAUUGACGUUACUCGCAGAAGAAGCACCGGCUAACUCCGUGCCAGCAGCCGCGGUAAUACGGAGGGUGCAAGCGUUAAUCGGAAUUACUGGGCGUAAAGCGCACGCAGGCGGUUUGUUAAGUCAGAUGUGAAAUCCCCGCGCUUAACGUGGAACUGC
This 276-nucleotide ribosomal RNA is filed under the name uncultured bacterium. Its description in RNAcentral is "partial 16S ribosomal RNA". It matches the Rfam family "Bacterial small subunit ribosomal RNA", at positions 355 to 624 of the family's 1533-position model. The record is from RNAcentral.